UAAUCAGUAGAUGUGUGUACAAGUCAGAGAUAAAAAACAACGUGUUUGAUUGGAGUCAUGAAACUCUACAUGAUCAUCACCGUCUUCUACACAACCUUUGACUUCAUCCAGGUUUCAGGUUCCUCUCUCAGUGACAAAGUCCACCAGAAUCCAGCUGAGAUGUUCCUAAAAUCUGGACAAACCGCCGACAUCCACUGUUCACACAGUAUCGACAACUAUAAUGUAAUACUGUGGUACAAACAAUCAGACGGACGCCUGCAGCUCCUCGGAUACAUGCAGGAGAGUUUUGGAAAACCAGAAAUUGGAGUGAAAGUGAAGAUCACAGGAGAUGCAAAUAAAGGAAAAACCUGCACGUUAAAGAUUGAAGAAGUCAGCAGUGCAGUUUACUUCUGUGCUGCUAGUCUCCACAGUGAAACAUCUCAGAGCUCCUCAAUACAAAAACCUCCUCACAGCCCUUCUGCACCUGCAACCAAACCAGGAUGUGGUCUCUGA
Cololabis saira (Pacific saury) is the source of this 492-nucleotide non-coding RNA. NCBI's taxonomy places the organism in Eukaryota, Metazoa, Chordata, Actinopteri, Beloniformes, Belonidae. The record is from the annotation of a RefSeq genome assembly.